Molecule: small RNA, 144 nt
Filed under: bovine gut metagenome
Description: M-box riboswitch (ykoK leader)
Rfam family: M-box riboswitch aptamer (ykoK leader)
About the family: M-box riboswitch, also know as ykoK leader is described as a metaloregulatory RNA that sense divalent metals and function as a genetic control element of genes related to divalent metal transport in bacteria. It was first reported upstream of the B.subtilis ykoK gene and genes with related functions in other bacteria.
Source: RNAcentral
GCCCGGUAGGCGAGGCAAGCGCACGGAUAUGGAUCGCUGCCGCGAAGCCGUGGAGACACGGCCAGCUGGCUAACAGGUCACGUCGAAACCAAGGCGUAACCUAACGCGAUUUCACCGCCCUGCGACGCUGAAGCUCGGACGGUG